RNAcentral lists this long non-coding RNA (366 nucleotides) under Neodiprion pinetum (white pine sawfly). RNAcentral describes it as "uncharacterized LOC124210983". Lineage: Eukaryota; Metazoa; Arthropoda; Insecta; Hymenoptera; Diprionidae. The record is from RNAcentral.
AUUAUUCAAUCAAAGUGUGUGAAGUUUGUACAAAUAGAACAAGACUGUCUAUAAUCGUGUUAAUACGUAUUUUCUUGUUUACUUUUCAAUUCUGUUAUUUUUUUUUUUUUUUUGUUGCUGUUAUUCUUUGUCGUUUUCCUUGAAAAAACUGAGAGGCAUGAUAUAAAAACCGACUGUCAAACGCAUUAUAUAAACGCACACACCUAUAUAUAUAUGUAUAUAUAUAUAUAUAUAUAUAGAUAUACGAUUACACGAUUCUAUAGUCGAAUAUAACAGAUGCAUGAUUUAUACCUAUAAUAGUGUAUAAGAAUUGUAUGUGUAUGUAUGUAUCUAUGUAGGUAUGUAUAUCGUACAAUCUUAUACAAA